RNAcentral lists this ribosomal RNA (253 nucleotides) under uncultured bacterium. RNAcentral describes it as "partial 16S ribosomal RNA". It matches the Rfam family "Bacterial small subunit ribosomal RNA", at positions 524 to 776 of the family's 1533-position model. The record is from RNAcentral.
GACGAAGGGGGCUAGCGUUGUUCGGAAUUACUGGGCGUAAAGCGAGUGUAGGUGGUUGUCCAAGUUGGAUGUGAAAGCCUUGAGCUCAACUCAAGAAAUGCAUUCAGGACUGGGCGGCUAGAGGACCGGAGAGGAUAGUGGAAUUCCCAGUGUAGUGGUGAAAUACGUAGAGAUUGGGAAGAACACCAGUGGCGAAGGCGGCUAUCUGGACGGUGACUGACGCUGAGACGCGAAAGCGUGGGGAGCAAACAGG